AUACGUAGGGGGCGAGCGUUGUCCGGAAUGAUUGGGCGUAAAGGGCGCGUAGGCGGCGUGGUAAGUCUGGAGUGAAAGUCCUGCUUUCAAGGUGGGAAUUGCUUUGGAUACUGCCGCGCUUGAGUGCAGGAGAGGUUAUCGGAAUUCCCGGUGUAGCGGUGAAAUGCGUAGAGAUCGGGAGGAACACCAGUGGCGAAGGCGGGUAACUGGACUGCAACUGACGCUGAGGCGCGAAAGUGUGGGGAGCAAACAGGAUUAGAUACCCUGGUAGUCCACACUGUAAACGAUGAAUGCUAGGUGUAAGAGGUAUCGACCCCUUUUGUGCCGGAGUCAACACAAUAAGCAUUCCGCCUGGGGAGUACGGCCGCAAGGUUGAAACUCAAAGGAAUUGACGGGG
This 397-nucleotide ribosomal RNA is filed under the name uncultured bacterium. RNAcentral describes it as "partial 16S ribosomal RNA". It matches the Rfam family "Bacterial small subunit ribosomal RNA", at positions 523 to 918 of the family's 1533-position model. The record is from RNAcentral.